AUUGAACGCUGGCGGCAGGCCUAACACAUGCAAGUCGAACGGUAACAGGAAGAAGCUUGCUUCUUUGCUGACGAGUGGCGGACGGGUGAGUAAUGUCUGGGAAACUGCCUGAUGGAGGGGGAUAACUACUGGAAACGGUAGCUAAUACCGCAUAACGUCGCAAGACCAAAGAGGGGGACCUUCGGGCCUCUUGCCAUCGGAUGUGCCCAGAUGGGAUUAGCUAGUAGGUGGGGUAACGGCUCACCUAGGCGACGAUCCCUAGCUGGUCUGAGAGGAUGACCAGCAACACUGGAACUGAGACACGGUCCAGACUCCUACGGGAGGCAGCAGUGGGGAAUAUUGCACAAAGGGCGCAAGCCUGAUGCAGCCAUGCCGCGUGUAUGAAGAAGGCCUUCGGGUUGUAAAGUACUUUCAGCGGGGAGGAAGGGAGUAAAGUUAAUACCUUUGCUCAUUGACGUUACCCGCAGAAGAAGCACCGGCUAACUCCGUG
RNAcentral lists this ribosomal RNA (490 nucleotides) under uncultured bacterium. RNAcentral's name for it is "partial 16S ribosomal RNA". It matches the Rfam family "Bacterial small subunit ribosomal RNA", at positions 30 to 507 of the family's 1533-position model. The record is from RNAcentral.